This 440-nucleotide unclassified non-coding RNA is filed under the name Hevea brasiliensis (rubber tree). The record is from RNAcentral. Lineage: Eukaryota; Viridiplantae; Streptophyta; Magnoliopsida; Malpighiales; Euphorbiaceae.
AGCAAGGUUGGCAAUGUGCUGGUACAGAGGAAUCUUCUUGAUGAUAGCUCCAGCUUUGCAAAUGGCCAGUGACACAGCCAGGAUUGCAUUAGCACCAAGCUUCUGCUUGCACCACCCCCACUCAUUUUUGGUUCCAUCAAGCUGCUGAACCAUGAAGUUAUCAAGCUCAGCCUGUGACGUAGGGUCCUUGCCAAUCAGAGCUGGGGCAAUAACCGAGUUCACAUUGUCGACAGCCUUGGAAACACCCUUUCCCAAGUAAUCAGAUCCACCGUCCCUCAAUUCGAGAGCUUCAUAGACACCAGUUGAUGCACCACUGGGAACUGCAGCCCUUGCAAAGGUUCCAUCUGAGCAGCACACAUCGACCUCGACGGUGGGGUUGCCCCUGCUGUCGAAGAUCUGGCGCGCCUUGACGGACACGAUCGUCGCCGCCAUGGGAGGAG